GAUGAACGCUGGCGGCGUGUCUAAUACAUGCAAGUCGAGCGAACGGACGAGAAGCUUGCUUCUCUGAUGUUAGCGGCGGACGGGUGAGUAACACGUGGAUAACCUACCGAUAAGACUGGGAUAACUGCGGGAAACCGGAGCUAAUACCGGAUAAUAUUCUGAACCGCAUGGUUCAAAAGUGAAAGACGGUCUUGCUGUCACUUAUAGAUGGAUCCGCGCUGCAUUAGCUAGUUGGUAAGGUAACGGCUUACCAAGGCAACGAUGCAUAGCCGACCUGAGAGGGUGAUCGGCCACACUGGAACUGAGACACGGUCCAGACUCCUACGGGCGGCAGCAGUAGGGAAGAUUCCGCAAUGGGCGAAAGUCUGACCGAGCCACGCCGCGUGCGUGAAGAAGGUCUUCGGGUCGUAACCAUCUGUUAUUAGGGAAGAACAUCUGUGUAGGUAACUGUGCACAGCUUGACGGUACCAAAUCAGAAAGCCACGGCUAACUACGUG
This 497-nucleotide ribosomal RNA is filed under the name uncultured bacterium. RNAcentral's name for it is "partial 16S ribosomal RNA". It matches the Rfam family "Bacterial small subunit ribosomal RNA", at positions 28 to 507 of the family's 1533-position model. The record is from RNAcentral.